UACAGAGGUCCCAAGCGUUGUUCGGAUUCACUGGGCGUAAAGGGUGCGUAGGUGGUGAGGUAAGUCCGAUGUGAAAGCUCCGAGCUCAACUCGGAAAUUGCAUUAGAAACUACCUUGCUCGAGGGUUGGAGGGGGGACUGGAAUUCUCGGUGUAGCAGUGAAAUGCGUAGAUAUCGAGAGGGACACCAGUGGCGAAGGCGAGUCCCUGGACAACUCCUGACACUGAGGCACGAAAGCUAGGGGAGCAAACAGG
RNAcentral lists this ribosomal RNA (253 nucleotides) under uncultured bacterium. RNAcentral's name for it is "partial 16S ribosomal RNA". It matches the Rfam family "Bacterial small subunit ribosomal RNA", at positions 524 to 776 of the family's 1533-position model. The record is from RNAcentral.